RNAcentral lists this ribosomal RNA (229 nucleotides) under uncultured bacterium. RNAcentral's name for it is "partial 16S ribosomal RNA". It matches the Rfam family "Bacterial small subunit ribosomal RNA", at positions 568 to 796 of the family's 1533-position model. The record is from RNAcentral.
UCCGUAGGUGGAUAAUUAAGUCAGAGGUGAAAUCCUGCAACUCAACUGUAGAAUUGCCUUUGAUACUGGUUAUCUUGAGUCAUUAUGAAGUGGUUAGAAUGUGUAGUGUAGCGGUGAAAUGCAUAGAUAUUACACAGAAUACCGAUUGCGAAGGCAGAUCACUAAUAAUGUACUGACACUGAGGGACGAAAGCGUGGGGAGCGAACAGGAUUAGAUACCCUGGUAGUCC